GCGCCGGUGGUGCAACGGUUCAGCAAAUGCUCCCGGAAAGAGUGAGAUGUGGGUUCGAAUCCCGGCUGACGCA
Molecule: non-coding RNA, 73 nt
Organism: Parelaphostrongylus tenuis
Lineage: Eukaryota; Metazoa; Nematoda; Chromadorea; Rhabditida; Metastrongylidae
Source: the annotation of a GenBank genome assembly